Molecule: ribosomal RNA, 1537 nt
Filed under: Escherichia coli
Lineage: Bacteria; Pseudomonadati; Pseudomonadota; Gammaproteobacteria; Enterobacterales; Enterobacteriaceae
Description: bacterial SSU rRNA
Rfam family: Bacterial small subunit ribosomal RNA
Source: RNAcentral
UUGAAGAGUUUGAUCAUGGCUCAGAUUGAACGCUGGCGGCAGGCCUAACACAUGCAAGUCGAACGGUAACAGGAAACAGCUUGCUGUUUCGCUGACGAGUGGCGGACGGGUGAGUAAUGUCUGGGAAACUGCCUGAUGGAGGGGGAUAACUACUGGAAACGGUAGCUAAUACCGCAUAACGUCGCAAGACCAAAGAGGGGGACCUUCGGGCCUCUUGCCAUCGGAUGUGCCCAGAUGGGAUUAGCUUGUUGGUGGGGUAACGGCUCACCAAGGCGACGAUCCCUAGCUGGUCUGAGAGGAUGACCAGCCACACUGGAACUGAGACACGGUCCAGACUCCUACGGGAGGCAGCAGUGGGGAAUAUUGCACAAUGGGCGCAAGCCUGAUGCAGCCAUGCCGCGUGUAUGAAGAAGGCCUUCGGGUUGUAAAGUACUUUCAGCGGGGAGGAAGGGAGUAAAGUUAAUACCUUUGCUCAUUGACGUUACCCGCAGAAGAAGCACCGGCUAACUCCGUGCCAGCAGCCGCGGUAAUACGGAGGGUGCAAGCGUUAAUCGGAAUUACUGGGCGUAAAGCGCACGCAGGCGGUUUGUUAAGUCAGAUGUGAAAUCCCCGGGCUCAACCUGGGAACUGCAUCUGAUACUGGCAAGCUUGAGUCUCGUAGAGGGGGGUAGAAUUCCAGGUGUAGCGGUGAAAUGCGUAGAGAUCUGGAGGAAUACCGGUGGCGAAGGCGGCCCCCUGGACGAAGACUGACGCUCAGGUGCGAAAGCGUGGGGAGCAAACAGGAUUAGAUACCCUGGUAGUCCACGCCGUAAACGAUGUCGACUUGGAGGUUGUGCCCUUGAGGCGUGGCUUCCGGAGCUAACGCGUUAAGUCGACCGCCUGGGGAGUACGGCCGCAAGGUUAAAACUCAAAUGAAUUGACGGGGGCCCGCACAAGCGGUGGAGCAUGUGGUUUAAUUCGAUGCAACGCGAAGAACCUUACCUGGUCUUGACAUCCACGGAAGUUUUCAGAGAUGAGAAUGUGCCUUCGGGAACCGUGAGACAGGUGCUGCAUGGCUGUCGUCAGCUCGUGUUGUGAAAUGUUGGGUUAAGUCCCGCAACGAGCGCAACCCUUAUCCUUUGUUGCCAGCGGUCCGGCCGGGAACUCAAAGGAGACUGCCAGUGAUAAACUGGAGGAAGGUGGGGAUGACGUCAAGUCAUCAUGGCCCUUACGACCAGGGCUACACACGUGCUACAAUGGCGCAUACAAAGAGAAGCGACCUCGCGAGAGCAAGCGGACCUCAUAAAGUGCGUCGUAGUCCGGAUUGGAGUCUGCAACUCGACUCCAUGAAGUCGGAAUCGCUAGUAAUCGUGGAUCAGAAUGCCACGGUGAAUACGUUCCCGGGCCUUGUACACACCGCCCGUCACACCAUGGGAGUGGGUUGCAAAAGAAGUAGGUAGCUUAACCUUCGGGAGGGCGCUUACCACUUUGUGAUUCAUGACUGGGUGAAGUCGUAACAAGGUAACCGUAGGGGAACCUGCGGUUGGAUCACCUCCUU